AGUUUGUGGCUCAGUGGUGGAGCACUUGCCUAGCAUGUGUGAGGCCCUGGGUUCGAUUUUCAGCACUG
Molecule: transfer RNA, 68 nt
Filed under: Marmota monax (woodchuck)
Lineage: Eukaryota; Metazoa; Chordata; Mammalia; Rodentia; Sciuridae
Description: tRNA.Ala
Source: RNAcentral